GAGCCAGGAGAAUAGCUUGAACCCAGGAGGCAGAGGUUGCAGUGAGCCGAGAUCAUGCCACUGCACUCUAGCCUGGGCAACAGAGCAAGACCCUGUCUCAAAAAAAAAAAAAAAAAAAUUUAGAGCCUAGAGCCUAGUUCCCCUCAAGGGUUGAUUGGAUUUAGUGACUCAGUUCUUACAAAUAGAAUAAAAUGGAAGUGAUGCUCUGUGUGUGUGUGUGUGUGUGUGUGUGUGUGUGAGAGAGAGAGAGAGAGAGAGAGACGGUCAUAAAACAGCACUGUGGCUUCCAUCUUGGUGAUACUCUCUUGGAUUUCUUACUCUGGGAGAAGCCAACUGCUCUGAGAAUACUCAGGCAGCCCUGUGGAUAGGCCCUUUCUGUGAGGAAUUGAGGCCUCCAGCAAGUAGCCAUGUGUAGUGAAUUCCAGGAGCCCGGGGGCUCACGCCUGUAAUCCCAGCACUUUGGGAGGCCAAGGUGGGCAGAUCAUGAGGUCAGGAGUUCGAGACCAGCCUGACCAACAUGGUGAAACCCCGUCUCUACUAAAAACACAAAAAAAUUAGCCAGGCAUGGUGGCAGGCACCUGUAGUCCCAGCUACUCAGGAGGCUGAGGCAUGAGAAUAGCUUGAACCCGGGAAGUAGAGGUUGCAGUGAGCCGAGAUAGCGCCACUGCACUCCAGCCUGGGCUACAGAACAAGAAUCUGUCUCAAAAAAAAAAAAAGAAAGAGAGAAAGAAAAAGGAAAAAAAGAAAGAAAAGAAAAGCUCGAUAUCACUGAUCACUAGAGAAAUGCAAAUCAAAACCACAAUGAAAUACCACCUCACACCAGUCAGAAUGGCUAUUAUUGAAAAGUCAAAAAACGGCCAGGCACGGUGGGUCACACCUGUAAUCCCAGCACUUUGGGAGGCUGAGUGGGUGGAUCACGAGGUCAAGAGUUCGAGAUUAGCCUGACCAACAUGGUGAAACACCGACUCUACUGAAAAUACAAAAAUUAGCCGGGUGUGGUGGCACACGCCUGGAAUCUCAGCUACUCAGGAGGCUGAGGCAGGAGAAUUGCUUAAACCUGGGAGGCGGAGAUUGCGGUGAGCUGAAAUCACGCCAUUGCACUCAGCCUGGGCAACAGAGGGAGACUGUCUCAAAAAAAAAAGAAAAGAAAAGAAAAGAAAAAAGUCAAAAAAUAACACAUGCUGGCGAGGUUGUAUGGAGAAUAGGGAAGCCUUAUAUGAUGUUAUGAUGUUGGUACGAGUGUAAAUUAGUUCAACCAUUGUGGAAAGCAGUGUGGCAAUUCCUCAAAGAGCUAAAAGCAAAACUAUCAUUCGACCCAGCAAUCUCAUUACUGGGUAUAUAACAAGAGGGAGAUAAAGCGUUCUACCAUAAAGACACAUGCAUGUGAAUGUUCAUUGCAGCACUACUCACAAUAGCAAAGACAUGGAAUCAACCUAAAUGCUCACCAGUGACAGACUGGAUAAAGAAAAUGUGGUACAUAUGCACCAUGGAAUACCAUGCAGCCAUAAAAAAGAACAAGAUUUUUUUGCCGGAAUAUGAAUGGAGCUGGAGGCUAUCAUUCUUGGCAAAAUUAUGCAGGAACAGAAAACCAAAUACUGCAUGUUCUCACCUGUAAGUGGGAGCUACAUGAUGAGAACUUACGAACACAAGGAAACAACAGUCACUGGUGUCUAUUGAGGAGGGAGGUUGGGAAGGAGAAGAACAGCAGAAAAGAUAACUAUUGAGUACUGGGGGUUAAUACCUGGGUGAUAUAUAAUAAUAGUAUGUACAACAAACCCCUGUGACACUCGUUUAUCUAUGUAACAAACCUUCACAUGUACCCCCAAACCUAAAAUAAAAAUUAAAAAAAAGAAAAAGAUAUGGCUAUGAGGUGGUAAUAACAUACAACAAGCUUUAUUUGGGCCGUGUUUUGACAGGGUUGCCUACUGAGGAAGCUUUUCACAGCAGGUGAUGAGACCUUCAGCAGGCUCAAUCAAACCUUCAAUGGCCCCGAAAGACAUCUUGAUUGAAACCUCAUGAGAGACUCUGAGCCAGAAAACCCAGCAACUUAGAACCCAGAUACCUGACCAUCAGCCACUGUGUGAAAUAAUAAAUGUUUGUUGUUUUAA
Pan troglodytes (chimpanzee) is the source of this 2108-nucleotide long non-coding RNA. RefSeq lists it as uncharacterized. NCBI's taxonomy places the organism in Eukaryota, Metazoa, Chordata, Mammalia, Primates, Hominidae. The transcript has 2 exons. The record is from RefSeq and is a predicted model, not a curated record.